CAUUUCUUCCAGAGAACAAGUCACCUCCAGCUGUCAUGCAGUGGCUAGCAAAGUUUUACCUUCAACUUGCUAAAUGAGGUCAGUUUGGAGAAUCACGACUGUUUUAAUCUGGCGAACAAAUUGCUUUCAAAGCCAACAUGGAACUUUGUUUUUCAUCAAUGAAUGAAUGGACUGGAUAACACACCAACCCCAUCACCUUCUGACUGGACCACCUUGAUGCAGGGAAAGCAAGAUGAGAGAUAUGAGGAAGGUGGACAGGAGAGGUACCUCCCAGCCAGGCUUGACAGUCCUUUGAAACGACAGCUGUUGUUCUUCCACCGGUCCAGUGGGUUCCCUUUCUUCCUGUCUAUGACAGCCUUCCUCGUGUAUCGCUCAAGCUCCUCGAGGAUCCCCUUGGGUGCCAGGACCUGACUUGUUGAGGUGAGCAUGCUGUCAUACAGAAGAGUGUCGC
Mugil cephalus (flathead mullet) is the source of this 451-nucleotide long non-coding RNA. RefSeq lists it as uncharacterized. The record is from RefSeq and is a predicted model, not a curated record. The transcript is spliced from 3 exons. NCBI's taxonomy places the organism in Eukaryota, Metazoa, Chordata, Actinopteri, Mugiliformes, Mugilidae.